CGGAGGCUGCGGCUUCUCGCAGCACUGGCACUGCAGCUGAGGCGGGCACUGCCAUGGCCAGCUCUGGCACAUCCCGGCGUUCGGCGGCAGCGGGUACGGGUACGGCACAAACUUGUACUGUGUUUUCGGCGCCGGCGGCGGCUUAGGCUUAUCCUCAGGCGGCUUAGGCUUUGGUUCCUCAGGCUUAGGCUUGGGCUUGCAGUGCUCGCAGUCACAGCAUUUGUCAGGCUUGGGCUUGCAGUGCUCACAGCAGCAACAUUUCUCAGGCUUGGGAUCCUCAGGCUUGGGUGGCUUGGGUGGAAUCGGCCAGACGUCCACGAUGAUGAUCUCCUUCACGACCUUAUUCCCGGCCUUGCACCAGACCUUCUUGCAGAGCUUCUCGGGGUCGAAUUUCCCGCGCACCACCACCACCUUCUUCUCCUUCUUGUCCUCGAACUCCACCUUCUCGAUGCAGAACUCCUCUGCAUAUCAAUUGGAAAACAAAAGAUAAUUGACUGGCCGAUUUGUUGUUGCAAGCACAGAUCAGAAUUCAGACUCGUAAGCUAGUAGUUGUACUUGUAGUCUUGUUAAUAUACAUGCUAAAAUGUACCUUUGAGGCUGUCCAGGACCUUGGUGAUCUUGGCUCUGCAGCGACAGCAGUCUAGGUCCACCGUAAUCACCAGUAUACCCAUCUGCAAACAAACAUAUGCAUGUGAAACAAAUAGUAUUGGCGAAUUGCCGAACAGAAAGUAGCAGAGCAUGAAAUUCAAAAGAAGUAGCAGAGCAUCGGCACAUCUCCUGCAAUCCAUUCAAGUGAAAAAGAACCCCAAAAAAAAAAACAUGUGCCAUGAAUCUCUUGCUCUUAGUCAUCCUUACUUUACUCUGAGUAGUUUGGUAAGGAGCUAGCUGAAACGAAAUUAUGCUUCUUUUCCUGGGUAACAAACACGAGUGCUACAACAUACGUCCAAUCCAGUAAUAUGCGGCGAAUGCAGCAGUGAAAGGACAGUUGAAAGAUUUGAGCUUACCUUUUGAGCUAUGGGAGUUGCCCGAUGAGCAAGAGAGGAGUACUUCUUAAGGUGGAUGGGUUUGGGGGACGGUUAUAUAUAUAUAUAUAUAUAUAUUUUAUACAAUAUACUGAAGCAGAGGCAGAGCUAAGCCUUGUGUGACGCAUGUUGGAUUGGAUCACAUCUUGAUAAUGCUGAUGAGACGGGGAAAGGGCUCCUGGACCUGCUGUUUGGCUGGGACUGGUCCUUCACGAAAUGUGUCUAGCUACUCUCCCUCUCUCCCGUCAUUUUCUAGCGAAACUUCGAAUAUGGAACGGUCUCUUUCAAGACUUUGGAGUGGGGGUACAAAUGUACAAUACAAUCCCGCUGCAACUCUCGUGCAAGGCUCAAGUGCUGCGGUGCUGCUCCCUCCUCGAAUUCCACCGACGCGCGCAGUGACAGGGGUCACCGUGGCCAAGGUCCGCAAGCAGUCGAGGAGGUCGGCGAGCUCUGCCUCUGACGACGGCGCGCGCGGCCACGAGACAGUCCAGGCUAAACACUUGAACCAACUCCUCGGACGUAUUUUGGCAGAGCUUUGAUCGACUACGUACCCAACUGACACUCUGCUACCUGGUGCAAAAUUGGGCGGAAACAAAGGUCACCGGUCUGAACCGCCGUUUUGUUUAUUUCAAGGAGGAAUUUGAAUGACCCCAAGCUCCUGGUGUUUAUUCCACUGGCCUAGCUCCUGGCCUUGAUGAGACCAUGAGGCUGUCAUGGAAAUCAUCUACAGAGUAUUGGUAUUCUGGAGAGUGGAAUGGGAGAUACUUCGUUCAUUGCAAUACCCGAUCGAGAUGUCGGAUCCCGCUUACUGCAAUUAUAUGUUUGUUAACAAUGACCAAGAGUUCUACUUCUCCUACACCUUGGUGAACGAGAGCACAAUAUUUCAGGUUGUGUUAGAUGUCUCUGGUGUUGGAACAAGGUGUCUCCAACGCGCCAGGAACGAACGCCGGCGAGUGCGUGGUCACCGCGGCGAGAACGAACACGAAGACAACUUAACGAGAUGACGAUCAGACUUAGUUGCUGCCACAACCGCAGCGCAUUUGGUCGUUUAUUCCUUGCUUUUAUAGCAGACACAGGCUUGCACAAUCCAAGCCCCCCACACCAUGUCGUACAAAGUGCCAUGCAUCGUUACAACUCCGAUGCGUGCCACGUGCGCUCGGUACGCCAUGGCGAGAGUCCUAUACCGACCCGGGCUGACCGUGAUCUUGCACGCCUAAGAUCAUGUCUGCCCCUAACCUGACUGACUCAACUGAAACAAAGAUUUCAAGAUAUCGUGCACAAGUUUAGCUAACUAACAAAUCACUCCCUAAACUUGAUGCACAUCUACGACCCCUAGAGCACUCCUGAGUUCUACAAACUUGACCCGCCCCAGCGCCUUCGUCAAGAUGUCGGCCAGCUGCUCCGCAGUCCGGACGUGAUCAACUUCCACCUUUCCAUCCUCAAUGCAUUCACGCAAGAAGUGAUACCUCUUAUCAAUGUGCUUGCUGCGAUCGUGAUGCACCGGAUUCCUGCUAAGCGCGAUUGCAGACAUAUUAUCCAUGAGUAGCUUCACCAUCGUCUCCUUUGUUCCCAGUAUAUCUGAGAUCAAUCGGCAUAACUAUAUCCCUUGGCACGCUGCUGCUGCUCCUGUCACGUACUCGACUUCACAGGAGGAUAGCGCCACGAUCUUCUGCUUCUGUGAAGUCUAGGUGACCAAGCUCUCACCUAGAAAGUAGCCAACACCCGAAGUGCUCUUCCUGUCCACCACAUCACCUGCGAAGUCACUGUCGCUAUAGCCCACUAGAACAGGCUUCAGCUCAGUUCCUCUCUCGUACUUGCAGCCAUACCCCAAAGUCCCCUUCAAGUACCUUAGGAUAUGCUUGACUACCGCCCAAUGUUGCUUACCGGGAGCCUCCAUGUAUCGACUAACCACACCCACUGCAUAUGCCAAAUCUGGCCGGGUGUUUACCAAAUACCUCAAACUCCCAAUCAGGCUUCUAUACGCCGUUGCAUCCACGGCUUCUCCCUCCUUUUGCUUGUUGAGCUUCACCCAACACUCCAUAGGUGUCUCACAUGGAUUACAACCACUCAUACCUGCUACUCCAAGGAUCCUAGCGGCAUAUGAGCUCUGACAGAGAGUGACUCCACCCUCUCCUUGUGUUACCUCAAUACCUAGAUAGUAAGUUAACAGGCUCAAGUCACUCAUACUAAAAUUCUUCUUCAUCUCUAACUUGAAACUUCUGAUAUCACUCACCCUAUGCCCCGAGAUGAUCAAAUCAUCCACGUACACUCCCACAAGUAGAAAAGAGCUCUUGCUAUUUUGUCUAUAAACAACAUGAUCCAACUUGCUUCUGACAAAACCCAGAGCAACCAGUUCACUGUCAAGUUUUGAAUUCCACACCCUCGGUGCUUGCUUUAACCCAUAGAGUGCUUUUCUGAGCUUGAGAACUUUUGUACCAUCACCCACUAUGAAACCUGGAGGCUGUUGCACGUACACAGUCUCAAUGAGAUCACCAUUCACGAAAGUCGAUUUCACAUCCAUAUGGUGAACUUCCCAACCACCUUGAGCUGCUAAUGGCAACAACACUCUUACAGUCUCUAACCUGGCUACCGGCACAAAAACUUCAUCAAAAUCCACUCCAUGUCGUUGUGCAUAACCUUUCGCUACCAGAUGUGCUUUAUGCUUGACAACUUUACCGCUUGGAUCUUUCUUAACCUUGAAAACCCAUUUCAGGCCAAUUGCUUUGUGCUUCGGUGGCAACACACUGACAUCCCAAGUGCGAUUUGCCUUUAUAGCCUGCAUCUCUGACCGCAUUGCUUGCCGCCAACAUUCUUCCGACAUAGCCUCCCCGACUAUCCUCGGUUCUUCUACCGUACCUAGACAAAUCCCGCUGUACUCGAACUCCUGUAUUUCUUCUGUGCUGUCAAGUAGAUUAGGAAUCGUUUGGUUCCUUAGUGGCGCGCCAUCAGAGUGAACUGAUCCGUCUGUAGGUGGGGUCGCCCAUUGAAUCAUCGGUCCUCCAUGACUUGAGAUCGGGGUGUGUGGUGACCCUCGAGCAUCACCCCCACCACUGGAAUUGUAACAGCAGGCAAAACAGGCUCAUCAUCAACGUCAAGUCCUAUUGCCGGACCAUGAAUAGUAGCAUCUUCAGCAUACCCCUAAACUGUAAACGUAUUAGGCACUGCUGCUACCUUUGUUCCCUCAUUUGUGCUGCCUGCUUUUCCUCCCCAAUUCCAUGGUCUCUCUUCAUCGAAGAUAACAUCAUGUGAAACCAUCAGUUGCUUGUUCACAGGAUCAUAAAUACGAUACCCUUUUGUCCUAGGCUCAUACCCAAGAAAGACACCUAGAAUCGCCCUGUUAGUCAACUUGCUCACCCCGGGUCCAACAUGCUUCGCAUAUGUUGUACAGUCGAAAGUUUGAAGGUGCUUAACCCCUAGUCUCUUACCAAACUAGGCCUCAAAAGGAGUCUUCCCACUCAGACUCUUGGUUGGGGAUCUGUUUAGUAUAUAAACCACAGUUUUGACUGCUUCACCCCAGAACAGCGACGACACAUCCAUGCUCUUGAGUAGACACCUCACCAUUUCCACCACCGUUUGAUUCCUCCUUUCUACGAUGCCAUUUUGUUGUGGAGAAUAUGGAGUAGUGGUGUUGUGUCUUAUCCCAUGCUCACUGCAGAAAACCAUAAAGGCUCCUGAGUUGAACUCCCCACCUCGGUCUGUCCUGACUGCCCUCAGACGAUGGCCAGAUUCCAACUCCGCCACUGCUUUGAACUUCUUCAGGUAGCCUAGAGCUUCGUCCUUUGUUGCCAAAAGUUCAAGCCACAUAUAAUGGCUGUAGUCAUCGACAAUAAGGAGGAAAUAUGACUUCCCUCCUGGUGUGGUCGGUGUAAUCUGCCCACACAAAUCAGUGUGAACCAGCUCAAGUCCUGCUGAUGCACGGUAGGCCGAGACCUAUGGAAACGGUGUCUGAUGUUGUUUACCCAACACGAUCCAUUACACACCUGCUCUGACUUUUUAAUGAUCGGUAUACCUUCCACCAUCCCCUUUACCCCAAGCUCUCGCAGUGACCUGAAGUUGAGAUGUCUGAAACACGCGUGCCAGCGCCAAGCUACCCCGUCCAUCUUUGUUAAUAGACACACAGGUGAAGUCAACUUCACCUUCAUGACAUACAGACGAUUCUUGCGCUCUGCCCAUAUCAGCAUAGUCCUCCGCACUCCCGCCUGCUCUCGAUCGAACACCUCUAUUACACCUUUAUCGAUUUCAACACGACAACCUCCUUCUUCCAGUUGCCCUAUACUCACAAUGUUGCAUCUGAGAGAUGGAAUACAAUAAACCUCUGUCAGUACCCGGUGUUCAACAUUCCUCCCUAAGAUUGUUACAGCACCAAUCCUGCAGAUUUCCACCGUAGAGCCAUCCCCGAAUCUCACUUCUCCUCGCACGGACUCGUCUAGACUUGCCAGUGAGUCACAGCCUAUAAUAUGAUUCGUGGCGCCCGUGUCGAGUACCCAAGCACCUUGCUCGUACUUGAAGGGAAACACAUGUUCCUGGUUUAGGAACAGCCGAGGUGCUUCUACAUUCGUUGUGCGAACAAUAUUGCAGACCUAAGCCACAAGAAGCGCCGACACAGCAUCAGUUUUAGUAUUAGCUACCUCCCCCUGAUAUUCCUUCGCCUUCUUCUUGUUUGGGCACUCCUUGCCCCAAUGCCCAUAUACACCACACUUCCUGCACUUCCCUUUACGACGUGGUAGUCUUGUUGAGCCAUGACCAUCGCCAUGAUCACGUCUAUCACGCUCAGUCUUGCCAGCACCACCACGCACACUAGAUCGCUCUUUCUUGACAUACUAUCCUCCCUUCCUAUUUCUCGAGCCAAAUGACUCGGCUGACACCAUGCGGCUCUUGUUUCUCGACGCUCACUCUUCUUCCGUGGGCAACAAACGACCAGCCUUAUCGGUGACCCUUUCACCAGUAGAUUCAAACCGAUCUUCAGCCACCCGAAGACAACCUACUAGAUUUUCAAGUGAUAAUUCCUUUAGGUCAUGAAACAUCUCCAUUUACACCGCCACUUGAUCAUAUUUGGAUGGCACCACCCUGAGGAACUUCUUGACAACUCGUGCAUCAUCGACUGAUUUCUCACCGAGACUGCGCAAGUGUGUUGCCAACUUGGAUAUCCUCACCACAAACUCAUCGAUAGUUUCACCAGGUUUGAACGAAAUUGACUCAAACUCAGAAAGCAGCUUUUGUGCGUUUACCUCUUUCACCCUCUCCACACCCAAACGCAUCGAUUUGAUAGCCUCACAUGCCUCCUUCGCUGACUUCUUGUUUAGUAGCAUAGAGUGCAUAUCGGGGGGUACGCCAUGCAAGAUGGCUCCCAAGGCGAGCCGAUCAUGUCUUCGCUCCACCUUGUCAGAUUCGAUCGCAUCCCAUAGGUACAUGGCUUUGAGAUUGCACUGAACAUGAGAAGACCACUCUUGAUAGUUCGACUGGGACAGGGUCGGCUAGAUCAGAUUGCCUGCGACCUGGUUUCAUGCCCGCUCCAUCUUCUCCAUGUCACUGUUGCUUCACAUGACGACGAUUGUAGAUGUUCACGCCUCCUCCUUCUCGAUCCCGGUGAUCUAGAUCACCUGGCCUUCUAUUCAAGUUCUCUCCGCCACCAAACACCACCUUCCCCAGCUUUCCAUGGCUCUGAUACCCUGUGUUGGAAUAAGGUGUCUCCAACGCGCUAGGAAUGAACGCCGACAAGUGUGUGGUCACCACGGUGAGAACGAACACGAAGACAACUUAAUGAGAUGACGAUCAGAUUUAGUUGCUGCCACAGCCACAGUGCAUUUGGUCGUUUAUUCCUUGCUUUUAUAGCAGACACAGGCUUGCAGAAUCCAAGCCCCCCACGCCAUGUCGUACAAAGUGCCCGCAUCGUUACAACUCGAUGUGUGUCGCGUGCACUCGGCAUACCAUGGCGAGAGUCCUAUACCGACCCGGGCUAACCGUGAUCUUGAAUGCCUAAGAUCACGUCUGCCCCUAACCUGACUGAUUCAACUGAAAUAAAGAUUACAAGAUAUCAUGCACAAGUUUAGCUAACUAACAUCAAGUCAAUGGAAGGUGCAAAGUGGGAAAGACCAUAAACAUGGGAUGAUCAUCAGUGUUAGUGUAGUUGUGGGUGUAAGCACUGUCAUCACCUUAGCGUUCAUCUUCCUAAUUGUGAUCUGGAGAAGCAAUAAGGUAUGUUGAUAUAAAACGUGCAAGUAACAAUUUCUCAGAGAAGUUAGGUCCAGGUGGUUUGGGUUCUGUAUUUAAGUGGUGCCUAAGUGAGUCGGUUGCCCACCAGGAAGAGAAGCAGUUCAGGUCUGAGGUGAGCUCGAUAGCCAUCAUUUAGCAUGCUACUUUGGUUAAACUUGUCGGGUUUUGUUGUGAAGGUGAUAGGAGGCUACAUGUGUAUGUGCACACGACAAACCGUUCCCUUAACGUCCAUCUGUUCCAGAGCCAUGGUACCAUUUUGGGUUGGAACAUUAGAUAUCUGAUAGCUCUUGGUGUUGCUAGAGAGAUAGCAUACUUGCAUCACAGCUGUUAAGACUGCAUAAUACAUUGUGAAAUCAAACCACAAAACAUACUUCUUGAUGCAUAUUUUAUUCCAAAAAUAGCAGAUUUUGGAAUGACUAAGUUUUAGUUGUGUUCUAACUACAACGAUGAGGAACUAUUGGGUGCAUUGCUCCUAUGUAUUAGUGGAACAACUAUUACAUCGGAAGUUGAUGUCUAGAGCUACGGGAUGGUUUUGAUGGAGAUCACAUCAUGAAGGAGGAACUUGGGUAAGGAAGCAUUUGCUGAUGAUGACCAUGCUAACUGUUUUCAUGUGCAAGUCAUGGACAAGCUUCUCAAUGGAGGCAUUCGAAGCCUUGUGGAUGCAAACUUGGGUGGCGAGUAAACCAUAGAUGAUGUUGAAAGAGACCGCAAGGUUGCAUGUUGGUUCAUUCAAGAUAAUGAAAUUGAUAACCCUACAAUGGAUGAGAGGUGAAGCUCAUGGGUAAUGGUGAUUCGGUGGGAGGGGAUGAUGAAGAUGGGCUUCGAGGAAAGUGUCACCAUGUCUUGGGGAAUAUCCAUCUAGAACGGUUUGGUCAGAGACGCUUUGUGGAGGGAGAUCGGCUUCGGGCUUGCUCUAUGGCUUAAGGUUGAAGAAGGUUCUUGGGGAGGUCCUCCUUGAUUCCGGUGAGGUUGAAGGUGUGGGUAAGGUGCAGUAGCUCGUCGGUGAACCAGACAAUCCUACCAACGGACAAGGAUUGCCUCCACGGGCGUGGGGAAAAUGCAAUAGCCUGUGGAGUCAAUCUUUAUCUAUUGGUGGGGUGGAUGCCAGCGGACAAUCGGAAAGCUUCUCCCAGCCUCUGCACACUUGAUUCUAGAGGGCGAACCAAACCCUGACAUUGACCCAGUCUCAUGCAUGGUUGUGGCCAGACCACUAGAGAGGUAGUAGCACUCGUCCAUGUCAGAUCCUCUAGCUCAAAGAUUGUAUUGUAGGACUCUUGACCCAUGUAGUGAUGAGGGCGACCAUGUUGUUGCUGGAGUUAGUGAACAGAAGGAAGGCGCGGAGGAGAUCAAGAUCCCAUGUGGUAACAAAGAUUUCUGAGAGGAAAGCCAAAUAGGGGUCCAAGACUGAUGGUGGCACAAUGGGAUGGCCCCACACUGUGAGUUUAGCGGAGAGGGAUAUGUAUUGGCUAUGGCCUCCGCCAUCUUCGUCGAUAGGAGAUGCCAUGGAUGGGCUCCUACAGGUGUUAGAUCCUGACCACACCUUAAUUAACGGUGAUGAUGGGAGGAGAGAUGGGCUGAGGAGCUAGUAGAAUCUUCCUCGACCUUGGUUGCAAGGCCAUUGAGUCAGAUCUCAGUGAGGGCGUCACCCGACGGACAUGUUUCAUUUUUUGUUUUUGUGGCGGACAGUCGUGUUACACAUGUGUUAGGUAAAUGCGGGACAACACGUGCCACCCAACCUAUUUAUCCUUGUUCUACACCCAACUCACCCCCACUCCAUGAGCUUGAAGAACCCAUUUGUACCCGUCUAGAUAAUUUUAAAUAAAAAACUGCCCCAUUAGCAGGCCUACUCUAGUCAAACACUUGAAUCUCACUUCUUAAUUUGGGUAGCUCUCCAAAUGCUUCACUAACCUCUCUUCAAUUGUUGGGUACAAUGGGUCAAAGAACAACCCUAAUAAGCUAGUGUAAUUCUUAUAUUGAGGGUAGAGAGGCUACUAACUGUUGAAAAAAGUUGGGAGGCUAAGAACAUUAGAUGAUCCGCUGGCUCAAAAAAUAUCCUGCCAGAUCAAUCCCUCCCUCUACACCUCGUACAUGGCACUGCCUUGGUUGAGUGGUGCCCAUCAAGUAUCAUCCCACUCUCGGUCUCUCCUCUCUCUCUCUCUCUCUCUCUCUCUGAAUCCCACCUGAAUCAACAAAUCUCAAAAUUUGUCAGAGAUCAUCUGGUGGUGUUGACCUUGUUGAUUCCAUUUAGAAGUGAAUAGCCAUCAGAUGUCCCAUACCCAAAUAAACAAGAAAAAUUUUGUUGUGGGACACUCCACUUAUGUGAAAUUGGCUGUAGGGUACUGAAAUAUUUUUUUUUUGUUAUGGGACACUAUUUUUUUUUUGUAGUACACCCCCCGGUAGAGCAAAUAAAAAAUUACAGUAUCCCCAACAAAUGGGACACCGAAACAAGUGAUCCACAGACGACUCCUUCCCACAAAACUUACAUACUGUUGUUCCAUCCCAGUUCCUUCUCUUCUGUUGUCAAGCAGUUCGGAUUCUAUCAUGCUAAGCCUCCAUAAAAAAUGUUUGAACCUUCAGAAGGAUUUUGGAUUUCCAGAUCUCCAUCAUUCUAACAUCAACCACUCCACUAAAGGUGAUAUAUCCGUACAGGCUUCUAGUGAAAAACUUUCCUGACUUCUCUAAUUUCCAAGUACACUAUCAUCCUCUUCUGACAAACUGACACUCCGCCAUAGGCUCAACAUGUCAGUCAUGACACUUGGCCCACGAACUACUGGACUAGCGUAUAACCGAUUGGUGGCUCUUCUUCCUCCUCCCUUUGUCUCGCUCGCUGCUCUAGGACUUUCAUGGCGGCACCGGUUACAGUUGCAGAUUGAGCGCAAGGAGAAGUAAAGGAUUAUUGCAGGCAUAAUUACGAAAUACUCGUACAAAGACAUGAAUAUCACAUUACAAAGUGCAAAUUACAGUUUAGUUUUGGAAGGUAGUACACCAGUACUAUAAAACAAGGGCAUUCUGGCAUAACACGUUCGUAUAACACACUGCAGGACGCAAACACAUCUGCACACGCACAGUAACUUCACUAUACAGAACAUAGUGUCGGAUUAUUCAGAUAUCGGAGGUCCAGUACCCAUCACAGCACAGCAACAGCGACAGGUGACGUUAAGCAGGUAGCCAUGGAUCACAUGACAGAGCACGAGUUCUCGUCGGCGACAACAUUGCAGCCUGCCCACGGUGGAGGCCAGACCGGCGGCUGCGGUGGCCAGACCGGCAGUGUCUGGCCGCAGCCACAGCUACCGUGGCUCGAACAGGUGCACGGUGGCCGCUGCGGCGGUGCCGGCGGCGGCGAAGGAGGCUUCUGGCAGCACUGGCACUGCUGGUGAGGAGGGCACUGCCACGGCCAGCUCUGGCACAUCCCAGGGUUCGGCACCAGGUACGGGUACGGCACGAACUUGUACUCCGUUUUGGGCGUCGCCGCCUUAGGCUUUUCCUCAGGCUUAGGCUUUUGCUCCUGCUUAGGCUUGGGCUUGCAGUGAUCACAGACACAGCAUUUCUCAGGCUUGGGCUUGCAGUGGUCACAGACACAGCAUUUCUCAGGCUUGGGAUUGCAAGGAUCGCAUGGCUUGGGUGGCUUGGGUGGAAUCGGCCAGACGUCCACGAUGAUGAUCUCCUUCACGACCUUACUCCCGGCCUUGCACCAGACCUUCUUGCAGAGCUUCUCGGCGUCGAAUUUCCCGCGCACCACCACCACCUUCUUCUCCUUCUUGUCCUCGAACUCCACCUUCUCGAUGCAGAAUUCCUCUGCACAUCAAUUGGAAAACAAAAGAUAAUUUGACUGCCCGAUUUGUUGUUGCAAGCACAGAUCAGAAUUCUGCCUCGUAAGCUAGUAGUUACAGUCUUAAUUAUGGUUAUUUAAUUAAACGCAGGAUUGUUCGGUAAUCUUCACGUUUCAUAUUAUGCCUAGACUGUGUGUGCUAAAACGUUUUCAGAUUCAGAUUGAUCAUUUGGUUUCAGAAGAAUCUUGCAAAGCAAGAUUGUUCAUACUUUCCUCUGCAAAACUGGGAAGCCCCAACGUCUUACCUUUAUUUGUUUCUUUCUUUAUUUUGUGAAAAUACGUUGCACUACAGCUUGAAUGAUAUCAGUUUCUUGGAGCAAGGAUUGUUCGUGGUCGUACUCUGCUUUCAUUCUAGGUCCAUAUGAAUGGCUGUAUUGUAUCUGUCUACAAUUGCAUCAUGGAAGUAUUCCCAUCUUUAUAUAGAUAGUAACAAAAAUGUACCUUUGAGACAGUCGAGGACUUUGGUGAUCUUGGCUCUACAGCGACAGCAGUCUAGGUCCACCGUAAUCACCAGUAUACCCAUCUGCAAACAAACAUGCAUGUGAAACAAAUAGUAUUGGCGAAUUGCCGAACAGAAAGUAGCAGAGCAUCAGCACAGCUCCUGCCAUCCUUUCAAGUGAAAAUCUAUGCUUUGGUAACGAUCUGAAACGAAAUGCUUCUUUUUCUG
This 11731-nucleotide long non-coding RNA is filed under the name Sorghum bicolor (sorghum). Its description in RNAcentral is "long non-coding RNA (SBIC_LNC011082)". Lineage: Eukaryota; Viridiplantae; Streptophyta; Magnoliopsida; Poales; Poaceae. The record is from RNAcentral.